UUUCAGUAGAGUCCCGACAUCAAUAUUAACUAGAGAUGCGUAGUUCCUACGGACGAAUUUAGGCAAUUUGGUUCAAUAAUUAUUGUGACAACAGACGCCAUUUUAACACGCUGUACGAGCAGUCCUCAACCACCCGGAGAAAAUAGGGUAGCACGGUCAAUCGUGUUGAAAAAAAUAAUAGGGUGGGCAGAAAAAAAUAGGGUCGGUCGGGAAACUGGAACCACAGGUAUUUUAUUUUUAGGCCUUGGUCGGGCGGGCGGG
Paramuricea clavata is the source of this 261-nucleotide non-coding RNA. NCBI's taxonomy places the organism in Eukaryota, Metazoa, Cnidaria, Anthozoa, Malacalcyonacea, Plexauridae. The record is from the annotation of a GenBank genome assembly.